RNAcentral lists this ribosomal RNA (213 nucleotides) under uncultured Planctomycetota bacterium. RNAcentral describes it as "uncultured planctomycete partial 16S ribosomal RNA". It matches the Rfam family "Bacterial small subunit ribosomal RNA", at positions 29 to 225 of the family's 1533-position model. Lineage: Bacteria; Pseudomonadati; Planctomycetota. The record is from RNAcentral.
AACGAACGUUGGCGGCGUGGAUUAGGCAUGCAAGUCGAACGAGAAAGGCUUCUUCGGAAGCCGAGUAAAGUGGCGGACGGGUGAGUAAUGCAUGGAUAGCUUACCCCUGAGAUGGGGAAUAACGCUUCGAAAGGAGUGCUAAUACCCAGUGCCGUCUCGAGUCGAUGGGCUCGAGAUGAAAGGAGGCCUCUGAUUCAAGCUUCCGCUCGGGGA